This is an RNA transcript of Phyllopteryx taeniolatus (common seadragon), 7262 nucleotides long. It is a transcript of the gene named calcium and integrin-binding protein 1-like, with no coding region annotated. The transcript has 6 exons. NCBI's taxonomy places the organism in Eukaryota, Metazoa, Chordata, Actinopteri, Syngnathiformes, Syngnathidae. The record is from RefSeq and is a predicted model, not a curated record.
GUCAAUUUAUUUCAGUACUCAUACAUUAUAUAGAUUCAUUAAACACAAAAUACAUUUCAGAUGGCAAAUCUGUGCCUGAUUUCUACAUUAAAAAUUAUUUACAGGCCAGCAUUUCAGCGACCUGGUUGAGAACAGAUAUAGAUAUCUGGAUUGUAUCCACAUACAACAAUUGGUCUUAUUGCUGUUUUUCAUGCUUGUCUAUUUAUGUCUGCUAAUGUUUUGUAACUCAUGCAUGCUCAGCUAACUUUAGAAGAUGCCGCAGCUGGCCAAUCAGUCAUGUGGCUAUUUUAGUUGCUGAGUAACUGCAUGCUUUUGGAGAUAAAGCAGGCAGUGACUGCUGGUGUUCUGUGUGUUUGGCUGCUUGGGAGCACAGCUUCAUUUUAGAAAACUCAAACUGCAUUCAGUGAAAUUUAUUUUUUAUUUUUUUGCUUUCUAUAAGGACAUAAAUAAGGAUGGCGGCAAGAACAGACAAAGAAACAGGAAAUGAAACAAACGCUACAGCUCAGCCCCUAAAUCAGACACAUGAUACUGAUGCUGGGUCAUCCACCUCUUCCAUUGCUGAAGAACAGCUCACCAGGUCGGUUGAAAGGAGCACCCAAAACCCUAAAGAUCAGUCUUCUACUGAUACAGCAAAGGAAAAGGCUUUAAAACCAACCUUUCAACUGACUUUUACCACAUUCACAGUAAAAAGUGGUGAAGAUUUGAAAGUAGACAUACCAGUGUUAGGGAAUCCAGCCCCAAAAAUAGAAUGGAAAAAAGAUGGACAGGCUGUAAAAGAGACAUCCAGGUUGGACAUCUCAACUACAUCAUCAAUGACAGUUCUUCAUAUCAGACACGCUACCAGGGAGCACGUUGGUCAAUACUCCAUCACAGCAAGUAACAAGGCUGGAAACUAUACUGGAGAAAUCACGGUGGUGGUUCUUGAAAAGCCUGACUCACCCAUAGGGCCUGUGAGGAUUGAUGAGGUCAGUUCUGACUAUGUGUCAAUUUCUUGGGAGCCACCCGCAUACACAGGAGGCUGUCAGCUUGACAACUACGUUGUGGAGAAACGUGAACUUACUAAUAUGGAGUGGCAAACUGUAUCCGCAACGACAGUGCGAACUGCAAUCAAAGUCACUAAACUAAAGACUGGUAAUGAGUAUCAAUUCAGAGUGUUUGCAGAAAAUAGGUAUGGAAAGAGUACAGCAAUUACAUCUUCAGUUGUACUUGCACAGUACUCAUUUAGUGUGCCCAUGGCUACUGCUACGCCUUUUGUUUCCACAGUGACAAAGUACAGCAUGUUAGUUGAAUGGGCAACCCCAGGCAGAGAUGGAGGAAGCCCUGUCACUGGCUAUCACUUGGAACGAAAGGAAAAAAACAGCAUCUUAUGGACCAAGCUGAACAAAUUUGCCAUACCUGACACCCGGUUCAAAACGACUGGCCUGGAGGAAGGCAUUGAGUAUGAAUUCAGAGUCUUUGCUGAGAAUAUUGCUGGACUCAGUCCGUCAAGCAACAUAUCUGACUGCUAUGUGGCGAGAGAUCCCUGUGAUCCACCUGGUAAACCUGAAGCAGUUGUUAUUACAAAAGAGAAUAUCACACUCCAGUGGGCAAAACCUGGCUAUGAUGGUGGCAGCUCUAUUACAGGCUAUGUUGUUGAGAAGAAAGAGCUUCCAGAUGGCCGAUGGAUGAAAGCAAACUUCACAAAUGUUAUUGAAAAUCAGUUCACAGUUACAGGUUUGACAGGAGGCCAAAGUUAUCAGUUCAGAGUAACUGCCAAGAAUGGUGCAGGUGUUUGGAGCAAACCUUCUGAAAAUAUAACCAUCUUUGCUGAAGAUGUAAUUGAAGGACCCUCUGUGUUCAUGGACCCCAAGUUCAGGAGUACAAUUGUUGUUCAUGGUGGCGAAACAUUUACAAUUGAAGCUGAUUACUUUGGAAAGCCCCUUCCUGAUGUAAGGUGGCUGAAGGAUGGUGAGGAAAUCAACAAAGCUACGCCAAGAACAGAUGUAAAAAACACCCUCACUCAUACAACACUAACUAUCAGGGACUGUACACGAGUGGAUGGGGGACGCUUUGUCCUAAGUCUUACGAACAUCGAUGGAACAACAUCAAUGCCAGUUAAUGUGAAGGUACUCGAUAGACCAAGUUCCCCAGACGGACCUUUGAGGGUGAAAGUUGUCAGUGGUGAAAAAUGUCAUCUUCAUUGGAACCCCCCUUCCAAUGAUGGCGGUGCCAGUAUUUCACAUUACAUUGUUGAAAAAAGGGAGACCAGCCGUGUCACAUGGACAGGGGUUGAUCCCCAUGUGGAAGCUGUCAGUUACAAAGCAACAAAGCUGACACCCGGGAGAGAAUACAUAUUCCGCGUUUGUGCUGUAAACAAAUUUGGUGUAGGGGAAUUUCUGGAAUCAGAACCUUUCAUUGCACAAAAUCUUUUCAAAACACCAAGUGCUCCUUCUACCCCUAUCGCCAGUGCUGUGACUGGAGACUCUGUAAUGUUGACAUGGGAAAGACCCAAGACGGACGGGGGCGCCGAGAUUGAUGGCUACAUCCUGGAGAAACUUGAUAAAGAGGGUGUCAGAUGGACUAAAUGCAACAAGAGAAGACUGAAUGACUUGCGUUUCAGAUGUACAGGACUCACGAAGGGACAUUAUUAUCAGUUUAGAGUAUCGGCAGAGAAUACUGCUGGUGUUGGUGCACCCAGUGAGGCAAGUAAUUAUAUUAAGGUGUGUGACCCAUCAUACCCUCCUGGUCCCCCUACCAACCUCAAAGUGACAGACUAUUCAUGCAGUACUGUCUCGCUAUCCUGGUCUAAGUCUGUCUAUGAUGGUGGAGCUCCCAUUACUGGAUAUGUUGUGGAGAUGAAAGAAGCAGCAGACGAUGAGUGGAUCACAUGCACACCAAACACAGAAGAUACAAAGGACACCAUAAAAGGUCUGAGACAAAAUGCAGAGUACAACUUCCGUGUACGUGCAACAAAUGCCAAUGGAGUUGGUGAGCCUGUGGAAUUACCAGGGUCUGUGGUCGCAGCUGAAAAACUAGAGCAACCUGAAGUUGAGUUGGACACAGCUUUGAGAAAGCUAGUUAGUGUUCGAGCCUGUUCAACAUUACGUCUCUAUGUACCCAUCAGAGGAAGUCCAGAACCUGAGGUCCAAUGGUCAAAGGAAGGUGGUCUUCUCAGUGAGCAUGCACAAAUAGAAGUGACAGGCUCCUAUACAUUGUUGAUGAUUGAAAAUGUAAAUAGAAAUGACACUGGAAAGUAUGUAUUGACUGCUACUAACUGCAAGGGCUCUAAAUCAGCAUUUAUCAAUGUUCGAGUGUUGGAUACCCCCAGUGCACCAACAAACCUGCAAGUGAAAGAUGUACAGAGAGAUUCUGUGCACAUCUCCUGGGGUGCUCCUCUCAUUGAUGGAGGAGCAGAGAUCUCCCAUUAUGCCGUGGAAAAGAGAGAGGAUGCGAGGAAGGUAUUCACAAGUGUCUGUAGUAACUGUACAAGGAACACAUAUAAAAUUGACAAGCUCCAGGAGGGAUGUUUUUAUUACUUCCGCGUCUUGGCUGUAAACGAGUAUGGAAGUGGACAAGCAGUCGAAACAAAUGAGCCUGUUAAAGUGUCUGAAGUGCCUCUUCCACCUGGGAAAAUCACACAGAGUGAUCUCACCAGUGACAGUGUACGACUCUCGUGGGAAAAGCCAGAUCAUGAUGGAGGAAGCAAAAUUACAUGUUACAUUGUAGAAAUCAAGGAAAAGGGACAUGACACAUGGAGAACCUGUUCUGAGAGUAAAACGCUGGAAACAGUAAUUAAUGGACUGACAAAAGGAAUGGACUAUUUAUUCAGAGUCAGCGCUGUGAAUGAAAAGGGGAAGAGUGAACCAAAGCUCCUCUCGACACCUGUUAUUUUUAAAGACACAAGUGCUCAACCUGUUAUUAAUUUGCUGUCCGCCACAUUCAGUGUGAAAGCAGGGAAAGAUUUAAGGAUUGAUGUGCCAUUUAAGGGUGUACCACAGCCAAUAGUAACCUGGAAAAAAGAUGGCAACAUCCUCAAAGAAACCUGCAGGGUAAACGUGUGUACAUUGGAUAUGUCAUCUCAACUCAUGAUCAAAGAUGCAACUCGGAUAGAUGUUGGUUUGUAUGCGGUAACUGUGACCAAUUCCGCUGGAACUGCAUCUGCUGAAAUCCAUGUUAAUGUUUUCGAAAAACCUGGGCCACCAUGUGACCUCACUGUAGAAGAAGUGAGCGCGGACUUUGUGUCUCUGAUAUGGCAACCCCCGCAUUAUAGUGGGGGAUGUCAAAUCUCUAAUUAUGUUGUUGAGAAGAGAGAUACAGACAGCACAAUAUGGCAGACUGUGUCAGCCACCGUGGCGAGGACUUCUAUAAAAAUAUCCCGUCUGACACAGGGUAAUGAAUAUCACUUUCGUGUUGCUACAGAGAAUCGCUAUGGCAGGAGCUCCUUUGUUGAGUCUGAACCUGUUGUUGCCCAAUAUCCUUUCAAGGUCCCCAGUCCACCAACCAAUAUCUCUGUUGUGAGUGCCUCAAAGUCUAUCAUGGUUGUUACAUGGAGCCCAGCAAGGAAUGAUGGUGGCAGCCCUGUUAUUGGCUAUCAUAUUGAAUGCAAAGAUCAAAGUAGUAUUCUGUGGACAAAGUUAAACAAAGGUUCAGUGACAGAAAACAGAUUCAAAGUUACAAGCAUUGACGAAGGCCUCAUAUAUGAGUUCCGGGUGUAUGCUGAGAAUAUCGCUGGUGUAGGUCCCUGCAGUAAAGCCUCUGAGCCUGUUGCAGCAAGAGACCAGUGUGAGCCCCCACACAACCUCACAGUGACCAGUAUAACCAACACUUCAGUUUCCCUCUCAUGGGACAAACCACAAUACGACGGUGGGGCUAAAAUAACUAGUUUCAUCGUAGAGCGCAAAGAGCUUCCUGAUAGUUGUUGGCUUAAGUGUAACUUCACUAGCUUACUCGAUACAUUUUUGGAGGUGACUGGUCUCACAGAGGGUGAACAGUAUGACUUCAGGGUCCUUGCAAAGAAUGCAGCUGACUUCUUCAGUGCACCCUCUGAGGCUACAGGCCCUGUCACUGUGCAGCAUGAAGUGGAGCCACCUAAAAUUAUCAUAGAGGACAAAUUUAGACAGGUUUUGGUUGUCAAAGUGGGUGACCUUCUAAGAAUAGAUGCUGACAUCUCUGGCCGCCCCAACCCUACAGUGUUGUGGUCAAAGAAUGGUAGAACUAUUGGCACAAAGGGUAGGGUUGACAUUACAGCAACAAAGGCGCAUACAUCUCUACUUAUCCGUGAAAGCGUUCGGAAAGACUCUGGACAGUAUAUUCUGACCCUACAAAGUACUGCGGGUACUACAUCUAUUGUUAUUACAUGUAGAGUCUUAGACAGCCCUGGCCCUCCAGCUGGACCCCUGCAAGUAUCUGGACUUUCAGCAGAGAAAGUCACCUUAUCAUGGGGACCCCCUCACGAAACAGGUGGCGCAGAGAUCAUGCAUUACAUUGUUGAGAAGUGUGAAACCAGCCGUGUAGCCUGGACUCUUAUCUAUAGUGACUUGAUGACAACUACCUGCAAAAUAACCAAGCUGCUCAAAGGAAAUGAAUACCUCUUUAGGGUGAAGGCAGUGAACAAGUAUGGUGAGGGGGAGACUUUGGAAAGUGAUCCCAUCAAGGCAGCCGACCCCUACACCAUCCCAUCUGCUCCAAUGGAUGUUGAAGUCACAAGUACAACGAGUGAAGCUAUGGCUAUCUGCUGGAAGAGACCAGUAUCUGAUGGCGGAAGCCGAAUUAGUGGGUACAUCAUUGAGAAGCGCGACAAGCAGGGCAUUCGUUGGAUACGUGUUAAUAAGAAGCCUGUCUACGACCUACGAGUCAAAGCCUCUGGCUUACAUGACGGAUGUGAAUAUGAAUUCCGUGUUUUUGCAGAGAAUGCUGCAGGGCUAAGUGAACCCAGUCUACCAUGUCGUCUCACCAUGGCAGAAGAUCCAAAGUUUCUGCCGUCCCCUCCCGAAAAGCCUAUAGUUCUCGAUUCUUCAAAGUCCUCAAUCACUCUGUCAUGGAACAAGCCAGUGUUUGAUGGUGGAGCGCCAGUUACUGGGUACAAAGUUGAAUUCAGAAAAAAUGCAGAAGACGUCUGGGCUGUUGGCACUCAAAACACAGAUAAGACUGUGUUCAAAGUAUCUGGGCUCACCUCAGGGACAGAAUAUGUAUUUGUUGUUAGAUCAAUAAAUAAGGUAGGCAUCAGUGAGGCCAGUCCUGAAACAAAUCCAUAUGCAGCUGUGGACAGAGAAGAGGAACCCAGGUUUGACAUUAGCACUGAUAUGAAGAAGACCCUCCAUGUUAAAGAAGGAAGCACCUUCACCCUCACCGUGCCUUUCACUGGCAAACCUGCUCCCAGUGUGAUUUGGGAAAAAGCGAAUGUGGAUCUAAGAAUUAGAGGACUGAUCAACACCACCAGCUACGUCACUUCCAUUACCGUGGAAAAAGUAACUCGCGAUGAUACAGGCAAAUACAUAGUCAAACUUCAAAAUGGUGUCGGGAAUGCCUCUUUGACUCUAAGUGUGAAAGUUCUAGAUUCCCCUGGUCCACCAACACAUUUAGCUGUUAAAGAUGUUACCAAGAAUUCUGCCACAGUUACUUGGGACAUCCCUGAGAAUGAGGGAGGAGCCUCCGUUAAGAACUACCUUGUUGACAUGCUGGACAUUAGCAGAAAAGGAUGGACAAGACUCACAAACAGAUGCCACAGAUUGUCCUACAAGGUGACUGAUCUGGAGGAGGGAGGGAUCUACUACUUUAGAGUCACUGCUGAAAAUGAGUUUGGCAUCGGUGUUCCGGCUGAGAUGAGGGAAGGAACAAGAAUGACAGAUUCGACAAACUGGGAAACAAAUCCGGGAGCUUAGUUGGUCACUUCUCCAGAGUUGAGCUGACUAUCUUCGACAUGUGGAGUAGAUUGCUGAGUUAUUCCAACUUUGCUCGGUUUCAAAAACUCCAUGACACGGUCUGCAUUACGGCGCCAUCGGGGAUGCGUUCACAUAGCCAUGUCUCCAUGAAGCACAGGGUGGCAGAACGUCUUAAGUCUUUACCGGUCUUUGUGAGAAAACGAAGCUCGUCCAUUUUGUUGGGUAGAGAGCAUAGAUUUGCGAGGUGAAUCGAAGGGAGCAGCAUUCGGAAUCCUCUCUUAAGGAGCUUGACAUGCACUCCGUCUCGCUUCCCUCUGCGCCGUCGCCUUCGCCCCCUCCAUGCGCCACAGACCGCAGCCGUUCUGCUGGAACUGACUUUUUUAACAAAACAAGAAAUUCUUC